GGGUCAAGCGCUAACGCCAAAACGAAGAAGGAGGACUUCAGCACAGCAAUUAUGGACCGCAAGAAGUCCCCAAACCGUUUGGUUGUGGACGACGCGAUCAACGACGAGAACAGUGUGAUCUCACUU
This 126-nucleotide non-coding RNA is filed under the name Chloropicon mariensis. Lineage: Eukaryota; Viridiplantae; Chlorophyta; Chloropicophyceae; Chloropicales; Chloropicaceae. The record is from RNAcentral.